This 279-nucleotide unclassified non-coding RNA is filed under the name plant metagenome. RNAcentral describes it as "partial contains small subunit ribosomal RNA, internal transcribed spacer 1, and 5.8S ribosomal RNA". The record is from RNAcentral.
UUUCCGUAGGUGAACCUGCGGAAGGAUCAUUAUUGUAUAACCAAGGUGCUAGGGCUGUCGCUGACCCGAUAGGUCUUGCACGCGCGAGUGCCCUCACACACAUCCAUCUCUCCCCGGUGUGCACCACCGCGUGAGUCCCCCUUUGGCGUGUACGUAGGGAGUCUUACGAUUCUUUCCACACUUUGUAUGCAGUGUAGGAUGUCUUUGUUGUUUUUGCGAGCACGCAAUCAAUCAAACUUUCAACAACGGAACGCUUGGUUAUCUCAUCGGCGAAGAACC